AGAGUUUGAUCAUGGCUCAGGACGAACGCUGGCGGCGUGCUUAACACAUGCAAGUCGAACGGUGAACCUGCUUCGGUGGGGGAUCAGUGGCGAACGGGUGAGUAACACGUGGGCAACCUGCCCUCAGCUCUGGGAUAACUCCAAGAAAUUGGGGCUAAUACCGGAUAUGACCGCUGACCGCAUGGUCUGGUGGUGGAAAGAUUUAUCGGCUGGGGAUGGGCCCGCGGCCUAUCAGCUUGUUGGUGGGGUAGUGGCCUACCAAGGCGACGACGGGUAGCCGGCCUGAGAGGGUGACCGGCCACACUGGGACUGAGACACGGCCCAGACUCCUACGGGAGGCAGCAGUGGGGAAUAUUGCGCAAUGGGCGAAAGCCUGACGCAGCGACGCCGCGUGGGGGAUGACGGCCUUCGGGUUGUAAACCUCUUUCAGCAGGGACGAAGCGGAAGUGACGGUACCUGCAGAAGAAGCACCGGCCAACUACGUGCCAGCAGCCGCGGUAAUACGUAGGGUGCAAGCGUUGUCCGGAAUUAUUGGGCGUAAAGAGCUCGUAGGCGGUUCGUCGCGUCGGCUGUGAAAUCCCGAGGCUCAACCUCGGGUCUGCAGUCGAUACGGGCGGACUUGAGUUCGGCAGGGGAGACUGGAAUUCCUGGUGUAGCGGUGAAAUGCGCGAUAUCAGGAGGAACACCGGUGGCGAAGGCGGGUCUCUGGGCCGAUACUGACGCUGAGGAGCGAAAGCGUGGGGAGCGAACAGGAUUAGAUACCCUAGUAGUCC
This 773-nucleotide ribosomal RNA is filed under the name uncultured bacterium. RNAcentral describes it as "bacterial SSU rRNA". It matches the Rfam family "Bacterial small subunit ribosomal RNA", at positions 8 to 796 of the family's 1533-position model. The record is from RNAcentral.